AACCAUAGAAACCUGCGGAGUACCUGCGGAGGGAUCAUUACCGAGUGCGGGUCCUCGUGGCCCAACCUCCCACCCGUGACUAUUGUACCUUGUUGCUUCGGCGGGCCCGUGCCCGCCGGAGACCCCAACAUGAACCCUGUUCUGAAAGCUUGCAGUCUGAGUGUGAUUCUUUGCAAUCAGUUAAAACUUUCAACAACGGAUCU
RNAcentral lists this unclassified non-coding RNA (203 nucleotides) under soil metagenome. RNAcentral describes it as "partial contains 5.8S ribosomal RNA, internal transcribed spacer 2, and large subunit ribosomal RNA". The record is from RNAcentral.